RNAcentral lists this ribosomal RNA (440 nucleotides) under uncultured bacterium. Its description in RNAcentral is "partial 16S ribosomal RNA". It matches the Rfam family "Bacterial small subunit ribosomal RNA", at positions 338 to 795 of the family's 1533-position model. The record is from RNAcentral.
CCUACGGGUGGCAGCAGUGGGGGAUAUUGCACAAUGGGGGGAACCCUGAUGCAGCGACGCAGCGUGGGUGAAGAAGCGCCUCGGCGCGUAAAGCCCUGUCAGCAGGGAAGAAAAUGACGGUACCUGAAGAAGAAGCACCGGCUAACUCCGUGCCAGCAGCCGCGGGAAUACGUAGGGGGCAAGCGUUAUCCGGAUUUACUGGGUGUAAAGGGGGCGCAGACGGCGAUGCAAGCCAGGAGUGAAAGCCCGGGGCCCAACCCCGGGAAUGCUCUUGGAACUGCGUGGCGGGAGUGCAGGAGGGGCAGGCGGAAUUCCUGGUGUAGCGGUGAAAUGCGUAGAUAUCAGGAGGAACACCGGUGGCGAAGGCGGCCUGCUGGACUGCAACUGACGUUGAGGCCCGAAAGCGUGGGGAGCAAACAGGAUUAGAUACCCGAGUAGUC